UCAUUAACAAAUAGAAUUCUCUGUGUGUCUACAGUGAUCCGUGGUCUCUGUGACGACUAUGAUCUGGACUUUCCAGCGUUCUACGCCUGCAUCGGUCUCUGGAACUCCCUCUUCCUCAUCCUGGGAGGCAUCUUCAACGUCUCCCUGCUCAUGAAGCUGUUCAAAAGGUCAACAGAGGAGGUCAUAGCUCUGUUCAUCUCUAUAGCCUUCGUAGUGGACGCUCUGAAAGGAACCAUCAAAAUCUUUCAUAAAUACUACCACGCCCCGACGCUGACCAAUGGAAGUGGGGAGGCAUUGCUAUGGCUACAGGAGCAG
Oncorhynchus nerka (sockeye salmon) is the source of this 315-nucleotide long non-coding RNA. RefSeq lists it as uncharacterized. The transcript is spliced from 3 exons. The record is from RefSeq and is a predicted model, not a curated record. NCBI's taxonomy places the organism in Eukaryota, Metazoa, Chordata, Actinopteri, Salmoniformes, Salmonidae.